RNAcentral lists this ribosomal RNA (408 nucleotides) under uncultured bacterium. RNAcentral describes it as "partial 16S ribosomal RNA". It matches the Rfam family "Bacterial small subunit ribosomal RNA", at positions 29 to 526 of the family's 1533-position model. The record is from RNAcentral.
AGUGAACGCUGGCGGCGUGCCUAAUACAUGCAAGUCGAACGGAGUGGCGCACGGGUGAGUAAUGUAUAGCUAAUCUGUCCUACACUAGAGGACAACAGUUGGAAACGACUGCUAAUACUCUAUAGUGUAGGAUGAGGCUAUAUUGUAUCAGCUAGUUGGUUAGGUAAUGGCUCACCAAGGCUAUGACGCAUAACUGGUCUGAGAGGAUGAUCAGUCACAUUUGAAGGUAGGCACGUUCCAGCCUCCUACGGGAGGCAGCAGUAGGGGACAUUGCUAAAGGGGGGAGACCCUGAAGCAGCAACGCCGCGUGGAGGAUGAUACUUUUCGGAGCGUAAACUCCUUUUGUUACGGAAGCGGUACCUAGCGCAUAAGCACCGGCUAACUCCGUGCCAGCAGCCGCGGUAAUAC